This 513-nucleotide ribosomal RNA is filed under the name uncultured bacterium. RNAcentral describes it as "partial 16S ribosomal RNA". It matches the Rfam family "Bacterial small subunit ribosomal RNA", at positions 28 to 523 of the family's 1533-position model. The record is from RNAcentral.
GAUGAACGCUGGCGGCGUGCCUAAUACAUGCAAGUCGAGCGAACAGACGAGGAGCUUGCUCCUCUGACGUUAGCGGCGGACGGGUGAGUAACACGUGGAUAACCUCCCUAUAAGACUUGGAUAACUUCGGGAAACCGGAGCUAAUACCGGAUAAUAUAUUGAACCGCCUGGUUCAAUAGUGAAAGACGGUUUUGCUGUCACUUAUAGAUGGCUCCGCGCCGCAUUAGCUAGUUGGUAAGGUAACGGCUUACCAAGGCAACGAUGCGUAGCCGACCUGAGAGGGGGAUCGGCCACACUGGAACUGAGACACGGUCCAGACUCCUACGGGAGGCAGCAGUAGGGAAUCUUCCGCAAUGGGCGAAAGCCUGACGGAGCAACGCCGCGUGAGUGAUGAAGGUCUUCGGAUCGUAAAACUCUGUUAUUAGGGAAGAACAAAUGUGUAAGUAACUAUGCACGUCUUGAUGGUACCUAAUCAGAAAGCCACGGCUAACUACGUGCCAGCCGCCGCGGUAA